UGGCGGUGAAGGUGCACAUGGCCUUUUUGCAUUAGCUUGGAGGUGACAAGCCCUAGCUCCCUGAAAAUCGAACAAGGUCACAGUCACCGUAAGGAACAAACGUGCUAGUAUUUAACAGAAGUGCUCAUGAAACAAAUGAUGCCUUGCCAAGGAGGUGAGGGUAUGAAGAUGAAUAGCAUAUGGAUCCUGUCUUCAUGAUCUUGACAUCCGGUGUGGGAAGCAGACAUGUAACAGAUAAAUGCAGCGUGUCGUGGUUGGUGAAAGAGAAGCCUUGGUACAGAGUUGCAGGAAAACCCAGAGGAAGGGAGUUCAGUCCAGCCCGGGGGCUUCAAGGAAGAUUUCCUAUAGGACAAUAUGCUUGAGCUGUCUUGCUGGAUGAGUAAGAGUUAGGCUGAAGAAAGCUGGAAGGGCACACCAAACAGGAGAUAUCAUGAGCAAAGACAAGGAUAUGACAUCUCAUUCGCUAAUUCAUCUAAGGAACAUUCUUGCUGGCCUACUGUGUGCCAGAUAUGUGGCAGCAAACCAAGCCCCUUUCCUUGCUUGUGGUCCAGUGGACACAGGACCUGCUAACUUGCAGCAUCAAGGGAGGACCCGGAACAGGGUGGGGAGUGGUGGCAGAGGAGGCUGAACAGGGUGGCGCUUUGUUUUACCUGAGAAUUGAGUUGAUACCCCACCUACUUCCGCCAAGGAUUUGAGGCAUUUAUAAAGAGCUAAGGAUUUGCCAAAUGGUGCUAUCAGUGGGCAGGAGUCCCAGACUCCUUCCUGAGAUGGGGGAUUCUUUGGCUUCCUCUAAAGUCUCUUGGUCACUGCAGGGAACUGACUGCUAACAGGGCUGCGGAAGUGAGGCUGCCCCUGGACCCUGGGCACUCCUAGAAAUCCCCUUGGGUUGAUUCAAGAAUUUGGGUUGUGAUGCAUGGCAAGGAAGAACCUGGCACAUGGUAAGAACAUUGUAAAUGCCUAUUGAAUGAAAACAUGAGGGAUUUGACUACAUCUGCAAAACGGAGGCAUGGCCAAUCCCUUUGAGCUUUGCCUUAAGACUAAGAAUGAGGAGCUUCCUGGAAAGUAGGAUGGGUCCUGUAUCAACACGUUGCUCCACUCAAGUCAAAGGAUAAAUAGCCAAAAAUAA
This is a long non-coding RNA of Hyaena hyaena (striped hyena), 1126 nucleotides long. RefSeq lists it as uncharacterized. The record is from RefSeq and is a predicted model, not a curated record. The transcript is spliced from 3 exons. NCBI's taxonomy places the organism in Eukaryota, Metazoa, Chordata, Mammalia, Carnivora, Hyaenidae.